AAUGAUUAAAUUAGUAAUAAAAAUGUAAAAUAUAAAGUUAUAUAUAUAUAUAAUAAUAAGGAAUUCGGCAAAAUAAUUAUAUUCACCUGUUUAUCAAAAACAUGUCUUUUUGAAUUUAAUUUAAAGUCAGUUCUGCUCAAUGAGGAAUUAAAUAGCUGCAGUAUUUUGACUGUACAAAGGUAGCAUAAUCAUUUGUCUUUUAAUUAAGGUCUAGAAUGAAGGAAUUAAUGAAAUAUAAACUGUCUUAUUUAUAUAAAAUAAAUUUAAAUUUUAAGUUAAAAUGCUUAAAUUUAUUUAAGGGACGAUAAGACCCUAUAGAAUUUUAUAUAUAUUAUAAUUUAAAUUAAAUUAUAAGUUAUAUUUAAUUGGGAGGAUUUUUAAAUUUAAUAAACUUUAAAAUUUUAAAAUAUAAAUAAAUAGAAUAAUUUGAUAUAUAAUUUAUAAAUAAAGAAUAAAUUACCUUAGGGAUAACAGCGUAAUAUUUUUGGAAAGAUCAUAUUGAAAAGAAUGUUUGCGACCUCGAUGUUGAAUUAAAGUAAAUUAUAAAUGUAGAAGUUUAUAAAUUAGGUCUGUUCGACCUUUAAAAUUUUACAUGAUUUGAGUUCAAAUCGACGUGAGUCAGAUUGGUUUCUAUCUUUAAAAAAAUAAAAGAAUUUUGUACGAAAGGACU
RNAcentral lists this ribosomal RNA (670 nucleotides) under Osmia chalybea. Its description in RNAcentral is "partial 16S ribosomal RNA". The stretch from base 467 to 625 matches the Rfam family "Bacterial large subunit ribosomal RNA", at positions 2473 to 2632 of the family's 2925-position model. Lineage: Eukaryota; Metazoa; Arthropoda; Insecta; Hymenoptera; Megachilidae. The record is from RNAcentral.